CGGGCGCUCGAAACAGAUUUGCCAGAAAAAAAUAAUAUUUGAAAACUUUAAUAACCCAACAUAUGCUCCUAGGUCGAAGGCUGAAAAAAAUAGUCAGAGUCGGGUCCUUACGAUGCCACUUGCAGAAUAUCAUCACUGAAUCAAGCCAUUUCAAGGCAGAUAAGUCAUUUGCGGGCACUCGAAACAGAUUUGCCAGAAAAAAAUAAUAUUUGAAAACUUUAAUAACCCAACAUAUGGUCCUAGGUCGAAGGCUGAAAAAAAUAGUCAGAGUCGGGUGCUUACGAUGCUACUUGCAGAAUAUCGUCAAUGGACUAUGCUAGGCCGUCUAGAUUGUUCAAAAACUGAGAAAAAUGCAUAUUAUCCACAUAGGGGGAAAAGUAAUCAGAUGCAAAUCCUUAUGUUAGCUGGUGGAAUUGACUUUUACAUGAUGAUUUUGAAUGAUACAUUUUUUAUUAAGUACGUUUAUUUGGUUUGAAUUUUUGGUAUUUCAUAGUUAGUAUUUUCUUCGGAUUGGUGUGGUGAAAAUUUGUUGUUUCACUCGGAGGCAAUGUUUGUUUAACCGCUCGUGCUAAUAUUGAUACCCGAGCAAGUGAAAGAUUCAUAUUUGAACCACGAGUGUACCCCCUUGUAAAACAAAUAACUAUUUCUAUUUCACCAAAUUUCAGCAUAUUAUCGUUAACAAUAUUUAAAAAGUAUAAAAAAGCGGCCAAGUGCGAGUCGGACUCGCCCAUGAAGGGUUCCGUACCAUUUAUGACGUAUUAAAAAAACUACUUAUUAGAUCUUGUUCAAACCAAUUUUCGGUGGAAGUUUGCAUUGUAAUGUAUAUCAUAUAUUUUUUAAGAUUUUUCAUUCUGUUAUUUUAGAAGUUACAGGGGGGGGGGGCACACAUUUUUUCACUUUGGAAGUGUCUCUCGCGCAAACUAUUCAGUUUAGAAAAAAAUUAUAUUAGAAACCUAAAUAUCAUUUUUUAAGACCUAUCCCCGACACGUAUGAGUUUUAUGAAUUUUUUUUUUUUAAUUUUAU
Long non-coding RNA from Cydia pomonella (codling moth), 1023 nucleotides. RefSeq lists it as uncharacterized. The record is from RefSeq and is a predicted model, not a curated record. The transcript has 2 exons. NCBI's taxonomy places the organism in Eukaryota, Metazoa, Arthropoda, Insecta, Lepidoptera, Tortricidae.